CAGUCGCCGCGGUAAUACGAAGGGGGCUAGCGUUGUUCGGAAUUACUGGGCGUAAAGCGCACGUAGGCGGCUUGGUAAGUUAGAGGUGAAAGCCUGGAGCUCAACUCCAGAAUUGCCUUUAAGACUGCCGAGCUAGCAGGUGAGAGAGGUAAGUGGAACUCCGAGUGUAGAGGUGAAAUUCGUAGAUAUUCGGAAGAACACCAGUGGCGAAGGCGGCAACCUGGCUCAUUACUGACGCUGAGGCGCGAAAGCGUGGGGAGCAAACAGGAUUAGAUACCCCGGUAGUCCCUGUCUCUUAUAC
This 301-nucleotide ribosomal RNA is filed under the name uncultured bacterium. RNAcentral's name for it is "partial 16S ribosomal RNA". It matches the Rfam family "Bacterial small subunit ribosomal RNA", at positions 509 to 807 of the family's 1533-position model. The record is from RNAcentral.